Long non-coding RNA from Bactrocera tryoni, 599 nucleotides. RefSeq lists it as uncharacterized. The record is from RefSeq and is a predicted model, not a curated record. The transcript is spliced from 3 exons. Lineage: Eukaryota; Metazoa; Arthropoda; Insecta; Diptera; Tephritidae.
AUCACCAUUCGCGUAACGCUAGUAAACUCGCAAACGAACUACUGACUGAAGUAUACACAUAUUUCAUUUCCCAGCUGUAAGAGAAAGAAAGAAAAAUGUGCGCGCGCACUGCUGACGCUUGUCUACUAAUUACCGUUCGCCUCGCCUGAUCACACUUUUCGUAACGCGUUCAUCAGCUUACUCCCCAAGCCAAGCGCGCGUAAAGAAGUUUCACUUCAAUUGGCAAUGCCAAAAUCAAAGGGAAAACGGAAAAGGAGAAACAAAAGGAGAACAGCUGAGUGAUCAAAACAAAACGGCAAUGCAAAAAUAUUAGCACACGUUUUGUUAGGAUUGCUGUUUUCAGGGGAAAAAUAAUAUGUUUUCAACAAAAUAAACGCGGUUUCCGUUUGGAUCGUUAAAGUUUCCAAAAGCCGAAGGAAAAGGAUCAACUAUAAUUGUUGUUAAACCUGGAUGUUUCGAAAAUUCCCCAGGACGGCACAAAAACUCAACCACCUCAUUUGAAUUCACAAACUUGCGUAUUUAAGAAAUUACGUGUCUAGUUGUUUGUCCGCGAUGGACCUCUAAACUACUGAACCGAUUUUAUCAAAAUUUCACUCACU